RNAcentral lists this transfer RNA (77 nucleotides) under Acidimicrobiaceae bacterium. RNAcentral describes it as "tRNA-Ile". It matches the Rfam family "tRNA". From Rfam's summary of the family: Transfer RNA (tRNA) molecules are approximately 80 nucleotides in length. Their secondary structure includes four short double-helical elements and three loops (D, anti-codon, and T loops). Further hydrogen bonds mediate the characteristic L-shaped molecular structure. tRNAs have two regions of fundamental functional importance: the anti-codon, which is responsible for specific mRNA codon recognition, and the 3' end, to which the tRNAs corresponding amino acid is attached (by aminoacyl-tRNA synthetases). tRNAs cope with the degeneracy of the genetic code in two manners: having more than one tRNA (with a specific anti-codon) for a particular amino acid; and 'wobble' base-pairing, i.e. permitting non-standard base-pairing at the 3rd anti-codon position. RNAcentral also lists the same sequence under 2 other names. The record is from RNAcentral. Lineage: Bacteria; Bacillati; Actinomycetota; Acidimicrobiia; Acidimicrobiales; Acidimicrobiaceae.
GGGGCUAUAGCUCAGCUGGUUAGAGCGCAGCACUGAUAAUGCUGAGGUCGCUGGUUCAAGUCCAGCUAGCCCCACCA